GCAGUGUGAGCACCAAACCAAAUCUCCAGGUGCUCUCAUGAGAACAAGACCGAAAAACUUAUGUGCAUCCCUGUGUAUAUAAUGAUUUAUAC
Molecule: long non-coding RNA, 92 nt
Organism: Sinocyclocheilus grahami
Lineage: Eukaryota; Metazoa; Chordata; Actinopteri; Cypriniformes; Cyprinidae
Exons: 3
Source: RefSeq, a predicted model, not a curated record